GAUGAACGCUAGCGGAGGCCUAAUACAUGCAAGUCGAACGGUAACAGGUAGCAAUACGCUGACGAGUGGCGCACGGGUGCGUAACGCGUACACAAUCUGCCUUAUACUGGGGCAUAGCCUUUGGAAACGAAGAAUAAUUCCCCAUAACAUAUAGAAGAGGCAUCUCUUUUAUAUUAAAGCUCAGGCGGUAUAAGAUGAGUGUGCGUCCGAUUAGGUAGUUGGUGAGGUAACGGCUCACCAAGCCAACGAUCGGUAGCUGGUCUGAGAGGAUGAUCAGCCACACGGGCACUGAGACACGGGCCCGACUCCUACGGGAGGCAGCAGUAGGGAAUAUUGGACAAUGGGCGCAAGCCUGAUCCAGCCAUCCCGCGUGAAGGAUGAAGGUCCUCUGGAUUGUAAACUUCUUUUCUUCGGGAAUAAAAACUGGGGUUCUCCUCAGCUUGAAGGUACCGAAGGAAUAAGCACCGGCUAACUCCGUG
This 479-nucleotide ribosomal RNA is filed under the name uncultured bacterium. RNAcentral's name for it is "bacterial SSU rRNA". It matches the Rfam family "Bacterial small subunit ribosomal RNA", at positions 28 to 507 of the family's 1533-position model. The record is from RNAcentral.